GACGAACGCUGGCGGCGUGCUUAACACAUGCAAGUCGAACGGAAAGGCCCUGCUUUUGUGGGGUGCUCGAGUGGCGAACGGGUGAGUAACACGUGAGUAACCUGCCCUUGACUUUGGGAUAACUUCAGGAAACUGGGGCUAAUAUCGGAUAGGAGCUCCUGCUGCAUGGUGGGGGUUGGAAAGUUUCGGCGGUUGGGGAUGGACUCGCGGGUUAUCAGCUUGUUGGUGGGGUAGUGGCUUACCAAGGGUUUGACGGGUAGCCGGCCUGGGAGGGUGACCGGCCACAAUGGGACUGAGAUACGGACCAGACGCCUACGGGAGGCAGCGGUGGAGAAUAUUGCACAGUGGGCGGAAGCCUGAUGCAGAGGCGCCGCGUUCGGGAUGACGGCCUUCGGGUUGUAAACCGCUUUCGCCUGUGACGAAGCGUGAGUGACGGUAAUGAGUAAAGAAGCACCGGCUAACUACGUG
RNAcentral lists this ribosomal RNA (468 nucleotides) under uncultured bacterium. RNAcentral's name for it is "partial 16S ribosomal RNA". It matches the Rfam family "Bacterial small subunit ribosomal RNA", at positions 28 to 507 of the family's 1533-position model. The record is from RNAcentral.